RNAcentral lists this transfer RNA (85 nucleotides) under Candidatus Saccharimonadota bacterium. RNAcentral describes it as "tRNA-Leu". It matches the Rfam family "tRNA". From Rfam's summary of the family: Transfer RNA (tRNA) molecules are approximately 80 nucleotides in length. Their secondary structure includes four short double-helical elements and three loops (D, anti-codon, and T loops). Further hydrogen bonds mediate the characteristic L-shaped molecular structure. tRNAs have two regions of fundamental functional importance: the anti-codon, which is responsible for specific mRNA codon recognition, and the 3' end, to which the tRNAs corresponding amino acid is attached (by aminoacyl-tRNA synthetases). tRNAs cope with the degeneracy of the genetic code in two manners: having more than one tRNA (with a specific anti-codon) for a particular amino acid; and 'wobble' base-pairing, i.e. permitting non-standard base-pairing at the 3rd anti-codon position. Lineage: Bacteria; Candidatus Saccharimonadota. The record is from RNAcentral. RNAcentral also lists the same sequence under 5 other names.
GCGCGAGUGGUGGAAUUGGUAGACACGCUAGCCUUAGGAGCUAGUGCCUUCGGGCGUGGAGGUUCAAGUCCUCUCUCGCGUACCA